RNAcentral lists this ribosomal RNA (466 nucleotides) under uncultured bacterium. Its description in RNAcentral is "partial 16S ribosomal RNA". It matches the Rfam family "Bacterial small subunit ribosomal RNA", at positions 28 to 507 of the family's 1533-position model. The record is from RNAcentral.
GAUGAACGCUGGCGGCGUGCUUAACACAUGCAAGUCGAACGAUGAAGCCCAGCUUGCUGGGUGGAUUAGUGGCGAACGGGUGAGUAACACGUGUGUAACCUGCCCCUAACUCUGGGAUAAGCCUGGGAAACUGGGUCUAAUACCGGAUAGGAGCGUCCACCGCAUGGUGGGUGUUGGAAAGAUUUAUCGGUUUUGGAUGGACUCGCGGCCUAUCAGCUUGUUGGUGAGGUAAUGGCUCACCAAGGCGACGACGGGUAGCCGGCCUGAGAGGGUGACCGGCCACACUGGGACUGAGACACGGCCCAGACUCCUACGGGAGGCAGCAGUGGGGAAUAGUGCACAAUGGGCGCAAGCCUGAUGCAGCGACGCCGCGUGAGGGAUGACGGCCUUCGGGUUGUAAACCUCUUUCAGUAGGGAAGAAGCGAAAGUGACGGUACCUGCAGAAGAAGCACCGGCUAACUACGUG